AAAUAAUUUACAAUGGAUUUUACUUUGAGGUUAGAUUUAAGUAUGGACUCCAUCAUCAACUGUUGUUGUAGAAAUUGUACUUGUGAGAAAAUGGGUGCUUCUACUGAUGGAUUGUACAUGCAUUAGUGUGGGUAUAGGAAUGAGAUGGGAGCCUGAUGCAUCUAUUGUUGAAUGCAUACCAACAGAUAAGUUCAACAAAGAAAUGAGACACUUGGGUGAGUUAGGAAUGGUCAAAUAUGAUCCAUAAGCACAUGAAGAUUCUGGAAUGGGAAGCCUUCUCCCAACCUUGGUUGUAGAGAAUAAAUUCCUCUGAUACAUGUCAAGAAUUAGCAGACCUGAUUGUAGGCCGUCAUUCUAGGUGGUCACCAAAGAUGAUAAUACAAAAAAGGACCUGGACUAAUGGUGAGAAGCAGUGCAAGUGUCUUGCAAAAUACAUUGAAAAUGACAUUAGAGGGUGCUUCCACAGUUUGGACAUAGUCUCUGCUUUUGCUGGCAUUCAAAGAUUUCUAACUGGAUUCUGUCAAUGACCAAUUUGAUUUGUGCAUAAUCUUGUAUUUCAGUCAUCAACUAGGAAACAAGGAGAGGAGGAAAGAAAUUCUGGAAGCUCUACCAUUGAUUUUCGGCUAGGUGUUUAAGGCUUUUUUCUUUUUUCUUUUUUCUUUUUUUGGGUGGGGGAUAUUUUUUGUUGAAACUCUAUCAAGUGACCAAAAAAAAAGGAAAACAUAAAUUUUGUAUCCUUGGGCAUUGACUUGGGUGGUAUAGAGGUAGGUAAAUAUGCUUUGUUUAUUAGCAAUGUGAUAUCAUGUUUUAGUUUCUUGAUCUUCUUGAGGCAUUUUUAUGUGAAGUAUGUUGAUGAACUACAUUCUGGGAGAAAUAAGAUUCAGUUAAGCCUAUUGGACUUAUGUUUAUGCUA
Quercus lobata is the source of this 913-nucleotide long non-coding RNA. RefSeq lists it as uncharacterized. Lineage: Eukaryota; Viridiplantae; Streptophyta; Magnoliopsida; Fagales; Fagaceae. The record is from RefSeq and is a predicted model, not a curated record. The transcript has 2 exons.